GUAACUUCUAUGACCAUGAAUGAUAUUUAUUAUUAAUAGUGAACACAAUGCAUUUUGAUAGCAUAUAAUUUAAACCUAUUUACAGUAUGCAGAUAAGCAAAGAGAAACCAGGACAUAUCAAACAUUAAAUACAUUGUACAUAUUACACCUUAUGAACAUAUUGCACAAUUGAACAAAUCAACUUUGAGCAAAAAUAGUGCUCAAUUCAAAUAUGGUCAGUAGUCAGAUAUGUUCGAGAAUAUAGGGACUAACAAUUUGUGGAUGACACAUCAUUUUUACAUUGCAGUGAUACUUAAAAGCUGGAAUAUAACCUCUGGUAGACAUUUGUUAUUAGCUUCACAUUGUAACAUGUAUUUUAUUUGUGUAUAUAAUUUCGAUGAGCACAGAUAAUGUAGGACAUACAAAAAAAAAAUAAGCCGCUAUUACAAAACAUAUUUUCACAAAGUUCAUAAUCAAAUGUGUGUGUGUGUGUAUAUAUGUAUGUGUAUAUGAAUAUAUGUAUAUAUUUGUGUG
This is a non-coding RNA of Pelobates cultripes (western spadefoot toad), 513 nucleotides long. The record is from the annotation of a GenBank genome assembly. NCBI's taxonomy places the organism in Eukaryota, Metazoa, Chordata, Amphibia, Anura, Pelobatidae.